AAAUUGAAGAGUUUGAUCAUGGCUCAGAUUGAACGCUGGCGGCAGGCCUAACACAUGCAAGUCGAACGGUAACAGGAAGCAGCUUGCUGCUUUGCUGACGAGUGGCGGACGGGUGAGUAAUGUCUGGGAAACUGCCCGAUGGAGGGGGAUAACUACUGGAAACGGUAGCUAAUACCGCAUAACGUCGCAAGACCAAAGAGGGGGACCUUAGGGCCUCUUGCCAUCGGAUGUGCCCAGAUGGGAUUAGCUAGUAGGUGGGGUAAUGGCUCACCUAGGCGACGAUCCCUAGCUGGUCUGAGAGGAUGACCAGCCACACUGGAACUGAGACACGGUCCA
This 336-nucleotide ribosomal RNA is filed under the name Escherichia coli. RNAcentral describes it as "bacterial SSU rRNA". It matches the Rfam family "Bacterial small subunit ribosomal RNA", at positions 1 to 333 of the family's 1533-position model. The record is from RNAcentral. Lineage: Bacteria; Pseudomonadati; Pseudomonadota; Gammaproteobacteria; Enterobacterales; Enterobacteriaceae.